UCCCCCGUUGGAUGUUCCGUUUGAAUUUAAUCGUAGUAACGGUUCGGCAAAAACCGUUGAUUGCUUAGUACACAAUCACUCUACCACACAAAUUUCGAAUGGAAUCACCAACGGGUUUUUUG
This is a small RNA of Vibrio cholerae O1, 122 nucleotides long. It matches the Rfam family "MtlS RNA". The record is from Rfam. NCBI's taxonomy places the organism in Bacteria, Pseudomonadati, Pseudomonadota, Gammaproteobacteria, Vibrionales, Vibrionaceae.